RNAcentral lists this ribosomal RNA (441 nucleotides) under uncultured bacterium. RNAcentral describes it as "partial 16S ribosomal RNA". It matches the Rfam family "Bacterial small subunit ribosomal RNA", at positions 338 to 795 of the family's 1533-position model. The record is from RNAcentral.
CCUACGGGGCGCAGCAGUGGGGGAUAUUGCACAAUGGGGGGAACCCUGAUGCAGCGACGCCGCGUGGGUGAAGGAGUGCUUCGGCAUGUAAAGCCCUAUCGGCAGGGAAGAAGCAAGACGGUACCUGACUAAGAAGCACCGGCUAACUACGUGCCAGCAGCCGCGGUAAUACGUAGGGGGCGAGCGUUAUCCGGAUUCACUGGGUGUAAAGGGAGCGUAGACGGCCAUGCAAGCCAGGGGUGAAAGCCCGGGGCCCAACCCCGGGACUGCCCUUGGAACUGUGCGGCUAGAGUGCGGGAGGGGCAGGCGGAAUUCCUGGUGUAGCGGUGAAAUGCGUAGAUAUCAGGAGGAACACCGGCGGCGAAGGCGGCCUGCUGGACCGCGACUGACGUUGAGGCUCGAAAGCGUGGGGAGCGAACAGGAUUAGAUACCCCGGUAGUC